ACAGUGCCCAGAGUAAGAAGGAUUAUUGCAUGCACCGGAAAAUUUGCAUUUUCUCCUGACAACUACAUACAUAUCCAUGCUAGUAUCAGUCAGAUCAUUUCAGCAUGUUAGCUGUUAAUAUUUAAAUCUAUCUUUAAUUGGAUUUUUAUCACUUCAUAUGUAUGUUUGUUUUGUUAAUUUUAAGGUACGUGUUUUUUCGUAAUAUCGACCAUUAUAAUGCCCGCAAUCAGAUAUAAAUACUACUUUCCUUCCAAAGUGAAAUUAUGAACUUUUAUUAGUCAAAUACACAGAUAAUAGCAUCGUGAUAAAAUUUCUCAGAGCACCAGUACAUUCUCUUCAUUAGAUUUUUUUUCUCAAGAGUUGAGCUAUCAUAGAAGCUGCCCAGUAAUUUUCUUUUUGAGGUGGUUGUUGUAUUUGUCUGGGUUUUUUGGUUUGGGAGUUGUACUACCUUCAUAAGCAUUUGCAAAGGAUUCUUCCUUGCUCUAUGACAGGCAAUUAUUUGAGGAUGUUAAUGUUGGUUCUUUUUUGAAGGUCUGGUAGGACACUGCCCUGUAACCGUCGGGAGCUGAAGGGUUUGCUGUUGUUGUUGUUGUUGUUGUUGUUGUUUUGUUUGGGAGUAGAUUUUUUAAAAUUUAUUGACUUUAUCUUGAUUUGCUUUUGGUAGGUCACUUGUAUCUAGAAUUUCGUCCAUUUCUUUUAGAUUUUCAGAUUUUCAAGCAUAAAAGCUCUUCACAUUAUUUUAUAAAAUAAAAAUUUGGUAGUGCUACUGCUAACAUAAACAACUUGGAGAGGUCUCGUGUUAAUAUAGUGUCACCCCUAAAGCAUUGAAACAGUUGUGGGUUCCAGAAAAGCACAGGCUGCCUGGAGAUGUCAAUAUAGGCACAUAGUAUGUUUUUUUUUUUUUUACACCAAUAGAAAAUAAUUUGAAAAUGUUAUAAAGAGUUAACUAUUUUACCAAGGGGUUGGAUGUAGUUGACAGUCGAUUGUUGGUAGGGAAGGGCGAACCACCUUUUUGUGAAGCUGUGGCCAUUUAGAUGUUUGGCAUGGAUGGUCCCACACUGAUGGGUUAUACAAGAACAAAUACAUAAAUAAUUAAUUUUUAAAAAUAUAAGAAA
Molecule: long non-coding RNA, 1115 nt
Filed under: Mus musculus (house mouse)
Lineage: Eukaryota; Metazoa; Chordata; Mammalia; Rodentia; Muridae
Description: long non-coding RNA chr18:58963573-58964688
Source: RNAcentral